Molecule: small RNA, 553 nt
Filed under: Drosophila pseudoobscura pseudoobscura
Lineage: Eukaryota; Metazoa; Arthropoda; Insecta; Diptera; Drosophilidae
Description: GA32834
Source: RNAcentral
AUUAGGACUUAAAAUUUAUUACACAUACAGGCUGGCAGGCAGACAGGCCAAACUCCACCCUCGAAAGGCGCUUUGCCAGCAGAUUUUCGAGAAAUAAGAAGGUUGAAAAGAGGGUUGCUCUGACUCUGACUCUGAUCCUUGGCUUGCCUUGGCUUGGGUCCCUUUUUUCGAUUUUCAUUUGUGACGCGUCAAAUACGUUGUUACAAUUCUCUGGUCUGCCAAACGAAAUAAAAACCGCACACGGAGCGACAGGACGAAGAAAACGGAACACAAAACGGAGCAGAACAGGACAGAACAGAAGGCAGAAAAACUUAAUAAAUGGGCUAAAAGUGUAAAACCUCAGUCUGAGUGUACAGUAAUCAGUGGCGUAGUCUGGUGGAGGGAUGGAAAUCCCUCACACAGCGAGAGAGGGAGGAGAGAUGACUAAUGGAAUGGCUUACAGAAGUCGCUUUUUGGGACUUUGUUUGUUUACUGAUUAUUCAAUUCAAUGUCAACCCUCUGUCCCCCCAGGCUCCUGAUGCCGAUAACAAAUAUGUAUAAUUUGGUUGCUUAA